CCUACGGGUGGCAGCAGUGGGGGAUAUUGCACAAUGGGGGGAACCCUGAUGCAGCGACGCCGCGUGGGUGAAGAAGCGCCUCGGCGCGUAAAGCCCUGUCAGCAGGGAAGAAAAUGACGGUACCUGAAGAAGAAGCCCCGGCUAACUACGUGCCAGAAGCCGCGGUAAUACGUAGGGGGCAAGCGUUAUCCGGAUUUACUGGGUGUAAAGGGGGCGCAGACGGCGAUGCAAGCCAGGAGUGAAAGCCCGGGGCCCAACGCCGGGACUGCUCUUGGAACUGCGUGGCUAGAGUGCAGGAGGGGCAGGCGGAAUUGCUGGUGUAGCGGUGAAAUGCGUAGAUAUCAGGAGGAACACCGGUGGCGAAGGCGGCCUGCUGGACUGCAACUGACGUUGAGGCCCGAAAGCGUGGGGAGCAAACAGGAUUAGAUACCCGAGUAGUC
Molecule: ribosomal RNA, 440 nt
Filed under: uncultured bacterium
Lineage: Bacteria
Description: partial 16S ribosomal RNA
Rfam family: Bacterial small subunit ribosomal RNA
Source: RNAcentral